This 253-nucleotide ribosomal RNA is filed under the name uncultured bacterium. Its description in RNAcentral is "partial 16S ribosomal RNA". It matches the Rfam family "Bacterial small subunit ribosomal RNA", at positions 524 to 776 of the family's 1533-position model. The record is from RNAcentral.
UACGUAGGGGGCAAGCGUUGUCCGGAUUUAUUGGGCGUAAAGAGCGUGUAGGCGGCUUGGUAGGUCCGCUGUGAAAACUCGAGGCUCAACCUCGAGAUGUCAGCGGAAACCACUUGGCUAGAGUCCGGAAGAGGAGAGUGGAAUUCCUGGUGUAGCGGUGAAAUGCGCAGAUAUCAGGAAGAACACCUAUGGCGAAGGCAGCUCUCUGGGACGGUACUGACGCUGAGACGCGAAAGCGUGGGGAGCGAACAGG